UCCAGGCUGGCGGAACUGUCCACACCUUUCUGUUGGCUGAAAACCCAGCCCCCGCCUCUGGCCUCUUCUCUAAGUACAGCUUCCUGUGCCUGGUGCUCGGAAGAUGGCCUGUGAUGUCACAGAGCUGUGGCUCUGAGUCACAGCUGCUCUGUGCACCUGCCCAGCGGGAACUCCAUACAGCUGCCCACCACUCCACUGAAGAUGCAACCCAGUCACUGCUGGCUCUUUCCACAGCUGCUUCUCCACCCAGGCUCUGUCUUUGGCAUCUGAGUCCUCACGGAGCUGAGCUGAUUGAAGAGAGGUUGCUGGCCUGCCAGGGCCUCCUCCUUCACUGUUGUCGGCCCCUCUCUGGCUGAGUCCAGCCGCAGCAGCGCCGGCCAGCGCCCUCCUGGAACCCCAGAAACCCCUUCGGUGCCAGGCUGCGGAUGCCUCCCGUCCUGUCUCUGAGUCACAUCGGCCCCCACUGGCAGCAAUGGCAGAUCACCGAGUCUGAAGCUGUCUGGAGCAGAGACGCUGCUGUUGUUCACUUCAUUCCAUUUGGAAAACUCCGAUCCUUCGGCAAGAGGUUGCUGGCACCCAGAGUUGAUGUUUUGUUUUGACUCAGCCCCUUGCAAUGAUUGCCAGGGAGGCGGCGGCUCCUUGACAUCUCUGAGUCCCUUCCGUUAUUAAUCACUGUAAAUCUGGAAUAAUCUCUACAAACAUAUUUUGUUCCCUACAAAUAUAUUUGUGCCGGCUUUCUCUAAUAAAUCUUAUGUCAGACAGGCUAUUGUCUCUCUUUGCACACCAUCUCCCAGC
RNAcentral lists this long non-coding RNA (795 nucleotides) under Fukomys damarensis (Damara mole-rat). RNAcentral describes it as "lncRNA (ENSFDAG00000028677.1)". The record is from RNAcentral. Lineage: Eukaryota; Metazoa; Chordata; Mammalia; Rodentia; Bathyergidae.